This 316-nucleotide ribosomal RNA is filed under the name Candidatus Anaplasma camelii. RNAcentral describes it as "bacterial SSU rRNA". It matches the Rfam family "Bacterial small subunit ribosomal RNA", at positions 24 to 350 of the family's 1533-position model. Lineage: Bacteria; Pseudomonadati; Pseudomonadota; Alphaproteobacteria; Rickettsiales; Anaplasmataceae. The record is from RNAcentral.
UCAGAACGAACGCUGGCGGCAAGCUUAACACAUGCAAGUCGAACGGAUUGUUAUCAUAGCUUGCUAUGAUAACAAUUAGUGGCAGACGGGUGAGUAAUGCAUAGGAAUCUACCUAGUAGUAUGGGAUAGCCACUAGAAAUGGUGGGUAAUACUGUAUAAUCCCUGCGGGGGAAAGAUUUAUCGCUAUUAGAUGAGCCUAUGUUAGAUUAGCUAGUUGGUAGGGUAAAGGCCUACCAAGGCAGUGAUCUAUAGCUGGUCUGAGAGGAUGAUCAGCCACACUGGAACUGAGAUACGGUCCAGRCUCCUACGGGAGGCA